RNAcentral lists this ribosomal RNA (301 nucleotides) under uncultured bacterium. Its description in RNAcentral is "partial 16S ribosomal RNA". It matches the Rfam family "Bacterial small subunit ribosomal RNA", at positions 509 to 807 of the family's 1533-position model. The record is from RNAcentral.
CAGUAGCCACGGGAAUACAGAGGGUGCGAGCGUUAAUCGGAUUUACUGGGCGUAAAGCGUGCGUAGGCGGCUUCUUAAGUCGGAUGUGAAAUCCCUGAGCUUAACUUAGGUAUUGCAUUCGAUACUGGGAAGCUAGAGUAUGGGAGAGGAUGGUAGAAUUCCAGGUGUAGCGGUGAAAUGCGUAGAGAUCUGGAGGAAUACCGAUGGCGAAGGCAGCCAUCUGGCCUAAUACUGACGCUGAGGUACGAAAGCAUGGGGAGCAAACAGGAUUAGAGACCCGAGUAGUCCCUGUCUCUUAUAC